RNAcentral lists this ribosomal RNA (484 nucleotides) under uncultured bacterium. Its description in RNAcentral is "partial 16S ribosomal RNA". It matches the Rfam family "Bacterial small subunit ribosomal RNA", at positions 30 to 507 of the family's 1533-position model. The record is from RNAcentral.
AUUGAACGCUGGCGGCAGGCCUAACACAUGCAAGUCGAGCGGAUGAAGGGAGCUUGCUCCUGGAUUCAGCGGCGGACGGGUGAGUAAGGCCUAGGAAUCUGCCUGGUAGUGGGGGAUAACGUCCGGAAACGGGCGCUAAUACCGCAUACGUCCUGAUGUAGAAAGUUGGGGAUCUUCGGACCUCACGCUAUCAGAUGAGCCUAGGUCGGAUUAGCUAGUUGGUGGGGUAAAGGCCUACCAAGGCGACGAUCCGUAACUGGUCUGAGAGGAUGAUCAGUCACACUGGAACUGAGACACGGUCCAGACUCCUACGGGAGGCAGCAGUGGGGAAUAUUGGAGAAUGGGCGAAAGCCUGAUCCAGCCAUGCCGCGUGUGUGAAGAAGGUCUUCGGAUUGUAAAGCACUUUAAGUUGGGAGGACGGGCAGUAAGUUAAUACCGUGCUGUUUUGACGUUACCAACAGAAUAAGCACCGGCUAACUUCGUG